AGACGAGCACGCAGGGCACCCCUCGGGCUCCCGGGAGGCGGCCCUGGGCGUCCCCUUUCUGCCGCCGCCGCGGCCCCGGCUGCUUUCUGCGUAGCUGGGCAGGGCCCGGGCCCCCACAUCGCCUCUCUCGGGAAUGCGGGCGCUCUGGAGCCGGGGAGCCGGGGCGACCGCAGGGAGGGCAGCUCUCCGGGGUGGAGGUCCUCGGGCGCCGCGCCCUCGCCUGGAAACCAGCCGUCGCCCCCGCAGGAGUCAGCCGGCGUGGACGCCCCAGCACGCUCCUUCUUGGUGCUGCCGGUCGCCCUGCAAUUCCGAGAAGAAAGUCAGAGACGCCGUGGCCCACAGAGGCGCUUAGUUUUCCUCGCUCACACUCACGUUGCUUCCUCAUCGCGUUCUUCUUUUUCUCCCUGGGUGCUUUCUCUCCUCUCCAGGAAAGCGGAUUUGGAGGAACAGGUUUCGUGACUGUCAUCCAACUGGAAAAGGCCCCGCGAGCUGGAAGGGGGGGCGGGGGGGGGGACGGGUGCACCCUCAGAGUUAUUGCUGGAGGCUGUGGCCAGGCCGGGCAAUGUGGUGACUUCCGCUGGCAGGCUGAGGCCCACCCCAGCCCUCCCACCUGGGCCACGGGGCUCUCAGCGGGAGCCCCAGUUAUGACCGGACACCAGCGCACCGCCAAGGAGACAGCCACGUGGGGACAUGCCGGGCUAGCAGGGUCAGAGCCACUUUGAGGACUAGUGACCUCGGUUCCCUGGCUUAACCAGGUCCUUAUGGGUGAGAAUCCUGAAGAGGGGGAGAGGGAUGGAGGCGAGGGACAGUAGGCAGGAGGAGCUGAUGAAUAGGAAGGAGGAAGAAGAUGAAAUAAACAAGAAAGAAAGAAAUUACGUUCAGAGCGCUGCUCACCUUUUCCAUGUCUUCUGCACCUUCAUAGCCUUCAAAGGUGUCCAUGGAGCUAAACUCCCUGCUGGAGCAGCCUUGGGGAAAGAAAGGAAAGGAUGGGGCCUCUCUGGGGUGGGAGGACAGCCCCUCUGCCCAUGGCAGGGUGUAGCAGGCAGUGCCUGUUGCAGGCGGGGUCCUCCCCAUCUCUAACUCCUGCUCUCCCAGGGCCUGCACUCCGCUGGGCUGUGAAGGGAGUCUGAUUUUUUCAGGCUCUUUCCAGCGCUGAAAUGCCUUAAUUCACUGAGAAGAAGCGUCCACAUGCUUUUCAUGGCCCUACCUCCCUGUUCGUCCAAGAAAACAGUCGUCUUUUUUGCUUGCCUGUCUUCUAACCAUGCCUCCGUCCCUUCUUCCUCCCCUGUCUAUUUCCCACCCUCCUCCCCUUCUUGCCUCCUUUUCUUUCCCGUAAUUAAUGUCCAUUUCCCAUCUCCCUGGCAGCCUCUGCCAAGUGUCACUGCUCCCCAUAAGGGAAAAUAAGAGGAACAAGCAAGUGCAUCCAUCCCUGCCUCUCUCCGCAGUGAACUGAUAAACCCAUCAGUCUUGCCCGUGGUGCACCUGUUACAUCCCCGGGAGGUGUUGGACACUGUGGGGAACAGCAGCCACCGCCAAAUACUCAGCAACUGCCCUGUGCCUGGUGGGAUGGUAGGCGUUUGUCAAAGUUUAAGCCUCACAACCCUGUAAGGGUCUCAGCCCCCUUUACAGUUGGGGAAACAGACAGCAAUGGUCACUUGGCCAAGUCCUCUUGGCCUGUGGCAGGGCAGCUGGCUUCUCCAGCCCUGCUGCUCUUUACCCUCGCUCUGAGUGAGAUGCGGUUUCUGCGCCACACGGCUCACAAGCCAGGGUAGGGAGCCGAGCAUCUGCAUAAAGCUCCCAGCACAGGGCAGCCCCAGACUGAGGCUCGGCUGAGUAAUCCACGCGGCGGGAGCCGUGCUAGGAAAGUGUCUGCUCAGGCGAGAAUUCAGGGAGGUUUGGGCAGGCCUUGAGGGGCGGACAGGACUGGAGAGGGAGGGCCUUCUGGGCAGAGGCAUGGCGGGAGGGCUGUAGGCGGCAGUGGAGGGAGCUGCAGUUAUCUGGGUGAGCAGGCAGCGGACAAGUGACGUCUCCCGGCCUGCUGCCCCAGGCCCCCCACAAGCCGCGUUCUGGGGCCGUGGCCUCCCCAGAGCAGAUCAGUGGGGGCUGUGUGAGCAACACUGGGGGCAGCUGGGCAGCGCCUCCCUGGAGGCCCCUCUGAAAUCCCGCCGGAUGCUGGCAGGCUCCAAGGGGGCUGGACACCAUCUUCUCAGGGCCCUGCAGGGAAGCGUGGAAAGGCGGCACAGGGCUGGACCCAGAGGAGCUCUCAGAUGCUGGACUGGACUGUUUCAGGGGUCAUCUAGCCCAUUCCCCGCCUCCAGGCGAGGAUUUGCUUGAGCCUGGAAAGAUGAAGGAUCCUCCCAGUGCCGUCAAGCCCCGGAUUCCACCUCCCUGUAGGUGGACUGCCAGCGCAGGCCCUGACAACGCAGAGAAAGACACAGGACCCAGCUGGGCCAGUGACAGCAGGAGCUCCUGGUGCCACAGGAAUGGAAACUGUGACUCAUAAUAGCCAGCUAGUCAAUGAUUAUUCCCCCCAGUCCCUGGCGCAUCAAGAUUUGCUGUGCUCAAUGGUGCCCAGACUGGAGUACAGUGGCGUGAUCUCGGCUCGCUACAACCUCCACCUCCCAGCCACCUGCCUUGGCCUCCCAAAGUGCCGAGAUUGCAGCUUCUGCCUGGCUGCCACCCCGUCUGGGAAGUGAGGAGCGUCUCUGCCUGGCCGCCCAUCGUCUGGGAUGUGAGGAGCCCCUCUGCCUGGCUGCCCAGUCUGGGAAGUGAGGAGCGUCUCUGCCCAGCCGCCAUCCCAUCUAGGAAGGGAGGAGCGUCUCUGCCCAGCUGCCCAUCGUCUGAGAUGUGGGGAGCGCCUCUGCCCCGCCGCCCCGUCUGGGAUGUGAGGAGCGCCUCUGCCCGGCCGCGACCCUGUCUGGGAGGUGAGGAGCGUCUCCACCUGGCAGCCACCCCGUCCGGGAGGGAGGUGGGGGUCAGCCCCCACCAGGCCAGCCGCCCCGUCCGGGAGGGAGGUGGGGGGGUCAGCCCCCCGCCCGGCCAGCCGCCCCGUCUGGGAGGGAGGUGGGGGGGUCAGCCCCCCACCCGGCCAGCCGCCCCGUCCGGGAGGUGAGGGGCGCCUCUGCCCGGCCGCCCCUACUGGGAAGUGAGGAGCCCCUCUGCCCGGCCAGCCGCCCUGUCCGGGAGGGAGGUUGGGGUGGGGGGGUCAGCCCUCCGCCCGGCCUGCCGCCCCGUCCGGGAGGUGAGGGGCGCCUCUGCCCGGCCACCCCUACUGGGAAGUGAGGAGCCCCUCUGCCCGGCCACCACCCCGUCUGGGAGGUGUGCCCAGCGGCUCAUUGAGAACGGGCCAUGAUGACAGUGGCGGUUUUGUGGAAUAGAAAGGGGGAAAAGGUGGGGAAAAGAUUGAGAAAUCAGAUGGUUGCCGUGUCUGUCUAGAAAGAAGUAGACAUGGGAGACUUUUCAUUUUGUUCUGUACUAAGAAAAAUUCUUCUGCCUUGGGAUCCUGUUGAUCUGUGACCUUACCCCCAACCCUGUGCUCUCUGAAACAUGUGCUGUAUCCACUCAGGGUUGAAUGGAUUAAGGGCGGUGCAAGAUGUGCUUUGUUAGACAGAUGCUUGAAGGCAGCAUGCUCGUUAAGAGUCAUCACCACUCCCUAAUCUCAAGUACCCAGGGACACAAACACUGCGGAAGGCCGCAGGGUCCUCUGCCUAGGAAAACCAGAGACCUUUGUUCACUUGUUUAUCUGCUGACCUUCCCUCCACUAUUGUCCUAUGACCCUGCCAAAUCCCCCUCUGCGAGAAACACCCAAGAAUGAUCAAUAAAAAAUG
Molecule: long non-coding RNA, 3827 nt
Filed under: Homo sapiens (human)
Lineage: Eukaryota; Metazoa; Chordata; Mammalia; Primates; Hominidae
Description: HSALNT0316936
Source: RNAcentral